RNAcentral lists this transfer RNA (73 nucleotides) under Bos taurus (domestic cattle). It matches the Rfam family "tRNA". From Rfam's summary of the family: Transfer RNA (tRNA) molecules are approximately 80 nucleotides in length. Their secondary structure includes four short double-helical elements and three loops (D, anti-codon, and T loops). The record is from Rfam by way of RNAcentral. Lineage: Eukaryota; Metazoa; Chordata; Mammalia; Artiodactyla; Bovidae. RNAcentral also lists the same sequence under 1 other name.
UCCCUGGUGGUCCAGCGGUUAAGACUCUGUGCUCACAACGCAGGGGGCCUGGGUUUGAUCCCUGAACAGGGAG